RNAcentral lists this small RNA (53 nucleotides) under Poecilia formosa (Amazon molly). The record is from RNAcentral. Lineage: Eukaryota; Metazoa; Chordata; Actinopteri; Cyprinodontiformes; Poeciliidae.
GGCAGUUGUAAUGGUACUUCCAUUUGGAACAAGGUUCGAUUCCUUGAGCUGCC